ACCAGACUCCUACGGGAGGCAGCAGGGGGGAAUAUUGCACAAUGGGCGCAAACCUGAUGCAGCCAUGCCGCGUGUAUGAAGAAGGCCUUCGGGUUGUAAAGUACUUUCAGCGGGGAGGAAGGUGUUGAGGUUAAUAACCUCAGCAAUUGACGUUACCCGCAGAAGAAGCACCGGCUAACUCCGUGCCAGCAGCCGCGGUAAUACGGAGGGUGCAAGCGUUAAUCGGAAUUACUGGGCGUAAAGCGCACGCAGGCGGUCUGUCUAGUCGGAUGUGAAAUCCCCGGUCUCAACCUGGGAACUGCAUUCGAAACUGGCAGGCUGGAGUGUUGGAGAGGGGGGUAGAAUUCCAGGUGUAGCGGUGAAGUGCGUAGAGAUCUGGAGGAAUGCCGGUGGCGAAGGCGGCCCCCUGGACAAAGACUGACGCUCAGGUGCGAAAGCGUGGGGAGCAAACAGGAUUAGAUACCCCCGUAA
Molecule: ribosomal RNA, 471 nt
Filed under: uncultured bacterium
Lineage: Bacteria
Description: bacterial SSU rRNA
Rfam family: Bacterial small subunit ribosomal RNA
Source: RNAcentral